Molecule: ribosomal RNA, 482 nt
Filed under: uncultured bacterium
Lineage: Bacteria
Description: partial 16S ribosomal RNA
Rfam family: Bacterial small subunit ribosomal RNA
Source: RNAcentral
GAUGAACGCUGGCGGCGUGCCUAAUACAUGCAAGUCGAGCGAACCACUUCGGUGGUGAGCGGCGAACGGGUGAGUAACACGUAGGUUAUCUGCCCAUCAGACGGGGACAACGAUUGGAAACGAUCGCUAAUACCGGAUAGGACGAAAGUUUAAAGGUGCUUCGGCACCACUGAUGGAAGAGCCUGCGGCGCAUUAGCUAGUUGGUAGGGUAAAGGCCUACCAAGGCGACGAUGCGUAGCCGACCUGAGAGGGUGAACGGUCACACUGGGACUGAGACACGGCCCAGACUCCUACGGGAGGCAGCAGUAGGGAAUCUUCGGCAAUGGGCGAAAGCCUGACCGAGCAACGCCGCGUGAAUGAUGAAGGCCUUCGGGUUGUAAAAUUCUGUUAUAAGGGAAGAAUGGCUUUAGUAGGAAAUGGCUAGAGUGUGACGGUACCUUAUGAGAAAGCCACGGCUAACUACGUGCCAGCCGCCGCCGUAA